GUGGGGAAUAUUGGGCAAUGGGCGAAAGCCUGACCCAGCAACGCCGCGUGAAGGAAGAAGGUUUUCGGAUCGUAAACUUCUGUCCUUGGGGAAGAAAAAAAUGACGGUACCCCUGGAGGAAGUCCCGGCUAACUACGUGCCAGCAGCCGCGGUAAUACGUAGGGGGCGAGCGUUAUCCGGAAUUAUUGGGCGUAAAGAGUACGUAGGUGGUUUUUUAAGCGCAGGGUUUAAGGCGAUGGCUCAACUGUCGUUCGCCCUGUGAACUGGAAGACUUGAGUACAGGAGAGGAAAGCGGAAUUCCUAGUGUAGCGGUGAAAUGCAUAGAUAUUAGGAGGAACACCAGUGGCGAAGGCGGCUUUCUGGACUGUAACUGACACUGAGGUACGAAAGCGUGGGGAGCAAACAGGAUUAGAUACCCGUGUAGUCC
This 427-nucleotide ribosomal RNA is filed under the name uncultured bacterium. RNAcentral describes it as "partial 16S ribosomal RNA". It matches the Rfam family "Bacterial small subunit ribosomal RNA", at positions 354 to 796 of the family's 1533-position model. The record is from RNAcentral.